RNAcentral lists this ribosomal RNA (293 nucleotides) under uncultured bacterium. Its description in RNAcentral is "partial 16S ribosomal RNA". It matches the Rfam family "Bacterial small subunit ribosomal RNA", at positions 505 to 796 of the family's 1533-position model. The record is from RNAcentral.
GUGUCAGCCGCCGCGGUAAUACGGGGGGAGCAAGCGUUGUUCGGAUUUACUGGGCGUAAAGGGCGCGUAGGCGGCCACUGCAAGUCAAUUGUGAAAUCUCCAGGCUUAACUCGGAAAGGUCAACUGAUACUGCAGGGCUAGAGUGCGGAAGGGGCAACUGGAAUUCUCGGUGUAGCGGUGAAAUGCGUAGAUAUCGAGAGGAACACCUGCGGCGAAGGCGGGUUGCUGGGCCGACACUGACGCUGAAGUGCGAAAGCUAGGGGAGCGAACGGGAUUAGAUACCCCCGUAGUCC